Heterocephalus glaber (naked mole-rat) is the source of this 544-nucleotide non-coding RNA. The record is from RefSeq and is a predicted model, not a curated record. NCBI's taxonomy places the organism in Eukaryota, Metazoa, Chordata, Mammalia, Rodentia, Bathyergidae.
CCACAGCUGCCUGCCUUGCCAGAGAAUGAAGUGGUAUGACGAUGACUACAUUGAAUGGUGAAUGGAAGAUUCUGACACCAGGACCGAGAGGAAUAGUGAAGCUCUGCUCUCUUCUGCUGGGACCUGUGAGAGCUGUCAGACAGCUCAUCCCUCGGAUGCUUGCCAGACCCAAACACAGCUGAUUCAGGCAGUGGCUGUGAGACUGUACGAGACACUGUCAGCAUUAACUGUGAAGGCUCUCAGUGGAGGUGGAACCACAUGUGCUGGCUGAUUCAUGUGCACUUGAGCUGACAGGCCUCCAAUUUCUCAGCUUCCUGAACCACGAAGAUGGAUCUCAGAGCUCCUAGUACAUGGAAGCCCUAUGUGAUCCAACGCUGGGCCUUCUUGUCACAUUUUCUCAUGGAAAUAAUGUCGAGUGACUGGGUUGAGUCCUACAGUCAGAACAACAACAUUUUGGUUAAUAAGACUUUCAGGGCCAUGUGUAAACUAAUCAUCACACCUAUGUUUAAAGCAAUUCCCACCUCCACUGACCUUUUUUUUUUAG